UGUGCCAGGAAACGUGCUAAUUGCCAGGUGUGACACGUUAACCUCCUCUGGAGGAAGUGUGUGAGAAGCAGUUCAGCUGCUGGCUGAAGUGAAGUCACAGCCCUAGUAUGUGUAGGUGCUGUAUUACCAUUUGCAGAAGAAAGGAACCUGAUGCAAUCUUCAAGGUGCAGCAUGGCAAAGCUUUGUGAGAUGCUUUUUUCUGUGCUUUGCUUAAAAUGGUGGAAAACAAGUACUUGUUCAAGAAACAUUGGUGAUGCUUCUUACUGGAAUUGCUGAUGGAGUUAAGGCCUGCGAGAUAUCCAGAAAAGUAACAUAAAGAGAGAAAUUAUAUUAUGAUGGAUCCUGUCUUUUCCAAUGGAAAGCAUCUUGCAAUAAAUGCUAUACAAAAUCCAUCAAGUGAAGCACAAGUAUAGCUUUGCUAUGCUAUUACAGAGCAAGUACUUUCAAAAGCAUCCAUUGGAGGACACUAGCACCCAACAAAUUACAGAUCAACGCAUACAAUGUUAUCUAAUGACUAUAAAUAGUCUUUUAUGGUUGAGCAGAGCAAGGAACUCACAAGAAGAUCCUCCAAGGGUAGCAGGUGCUGCUUGUGUGAGGGUUGCUGAUUGUGCAUUGCUCAGUGUUCUCAUCUGUUAUGAACAUUUGUCAUCUGCUGCUAUGAUCUCCAUCUUCCAGCUUAGUUAGUACGUACUGCUAAGCCCGCCGCUUCUGGAGAUGAAAAUGGCUUCUGGAGUGUUGUUGUCUUGUUAGUACAGCAAAGAAGGUCUAUGGGGAAGGUUACUGCAUGUGAGUGGCAUCAACCGGAACAGCCCCUCCAGGCUUGUGGGAUAUUGCUGACCUGCACUCUACACUCGUGCUAUUUGGGGUGAUCUGCCUGCUGGGAGAUAUGUGGACUAGUGAACUGGAUAAAUCAGCAUGUAAUUCUGUAGAUGAAAAAGGUUUCAGAUCUGCCUCCAAAAUUCCAG
RNAcentral lists this long non-coding RNA (965 nucleotides) under Gallus gallus (chicken). RNAcentral's name for it is "lncRNA (ENSGALG00010002938.1)". The record is from RNAcentral. Lineage: Eukaryota; Metazoa; Chordata; Aves; Galliformes; Phasianidae.